CGCAGCCACGGGAAUACGGAGGGUGCAAGCGUUAUCCGGAUUCACUGGGUUUAAAGGGUGCGUAGGCGGAUCUGUAAGUCAGUGGUGAAAUCUCCAGGCUUAACCUGGAAACUGCCGUUGAUACUAUAGGUCUUGAAUUUUGUGGAGGUUAGCGGAAUAUGUCAUGUAGCGGUGAAAUGCAUAGAUAUGACAUAGAACACCAAUUGCGAAGGCAGCUGGCUACACAACUAUUGACGCUGAGGCACGAAAGCGUGGGGAUCAAACAGGAUUAGAUACCCCCGUAGUCCCUGUCUCUUAUACA
This 301-nucleotide ribosomal RNA is filed under the name uncultured bacterium. Its description in RNAcentral is "partial 16S ribosomal RNA". It matches the Rfam family "Bacterial small subunit ribosomal RNA", at positions 510 to 808 of the family's 1533-position model. The record is from RNAcentral.